GUGCCAGCCGCCGCGGUAAAACCAGCACCUCAAGUGGUCAGGAUGAUUAUUGGGCCUAAAGCAUCCGUAGCCGGCUUUGUUAGUUUUCGGUUAAAUCUAUAUGCUCAACAUAUAGGCUGCCGGGAAUACUACAAAGCUAGGGAGUGGGAGAGGUAGACGGUACUCCGUAGGAAGGGGUAAAAUCCUUUGAUCUAUGGAUGACCACCUGUGGCGAAGGCGGUCUACCAGAACACGUCCGACGGUGAGGGAUGAAAGCUGGGGGAGCAAACCGGAUUAGAUACCCGGGUAGUCCCAGCUGUAAACUAUGCAAACUCAGUGAUGCAUUGGCUUGUGGCCAGUGCAGUGCCGCAGGGAAGCCGUUAAGUUUGCCGCCUGGGAAGUACGUACGCAAGUAUGAAACUUAAAGGAAUUGGCGGGGGAGCACCACAAGGGGUGAAGCCUGCGGUUCAAUUGGAGUCAACGCCAGAAAUCUUACCCGGAGAGACAGCAGGAUGAAGGUCAAGCUGAAGACUUUACCAGACAAGCUGAGAAGUGGUGCAUGGCCGUCGCCAGCUCGUGCCGUGAGGUGUCCUGUUAAGUCAGGUAACGAGCGAGAUCCUUGCCUCUAGUUGCCACCAUUACUCUCAGGAGUAGUGGGGCGAAUUAGCGGGACUGCCGUAGUUAAUACGGAGGAAGGAGAGGGCCACGGCAGGUCAGUAUGCCCUGAAACUUUGGGGCCACACGCGGGCUGCAAUGGUAGUGACAAUGUGUUCCGAAUCCGAAAGGAGGAGGUAAUCCAAAAACGCUACCACAGUUAUGACUGAGGGCUGCAACUCGCCCUCACGAAUAUGGAAUCCCUAGUAACUGCGUGUCAUUAUCGCGCGGUGAAUACGUCCCUGCUCCUUGCACACACCGCCCGUC
This 900-nucleotide ribosomal RNA is filed under the name uncultured archaeon. Its description in RNAcentral is "bacterial SSU rRNA". It matches the Rfam family "Archaeal small subunit ribosomal RNA", at positions 455 to 1354 of the family's 1478-position model. The record is from RNAcentral.